Long non-coding RNA from Athalia rosae (coleseed sawfly), 1113 nucleotides. RefSeq lists it as uncharacterized. Lineage: Eukaryota; Metazoa; Arthropoda; Insecta; Hymenoptera; Athaliidae. The transcript has 4 exons. The record is from RefSeq and is a predicted model, not a curated record.
GUCAUCGACCCCAAUCAUGUCGACAGCCUCCGAUGCGGGGCCACUUGGUUUCGCAUCAGAUUCGUCCGGGUUGAUGAACUCCACAUCAUCUGUAACGUCCAAUUAUUCGCAUACACGAAACUGAAGCGUAUAGUCAUUCCCGUUGAUCGACCCGCUCUACACAGGAGUCGUUCCGAUACAACAUCGUCACGGGCAUUAACGGACCGCUUCCAUACGAUCUACCAUAUAGACGAAUCGCGUCGAUUUCUCGGCUAUGGUCCAGCGGUGAAAUCCGACAGCUGACGGGUGCGUGCGAUGGGGACCAUAAAAGUGCGACAGAUGCAGGGCGGGACAAGUGGGCUCCCCCGUUUACGAAGCUGAGCAAAGCUGCACGACCGGAGCAGCUUCGACAGUUGUUGAUCGGUGCGCGAUGUAAAACGAAGAGAAGAACGAAAAAGGCGAUCCGACCCCCCAUUUUAUUUGGGGGCUGGAAGGUCUAUAGAUAGAACGAUAACGUCGCUACGAAUGCAGCGGGGAAUAUUAUCCGGGUUAUUUUUAACCCCCCCUGAGAGAGCGUCCUCCGUUCAACGUAUACGGUAUGUGUAUGUACGAUAUAAGCGAUAUUCGGUAUUCCAUUUGUUCUUCCUUUUCUUCUUAUUUUCUUCUCACGAUGCCCUCUGCCGCGCUUUCGGAAAUCGGAAUUUCCCGGGCCCUUCUUAUAUUCCUUUUGGGGCCAUCUACCUGCCCUUCUCCCUCGGAGCGGCGCGAUCUAAAUAUAGCCGCUCAUUUUAACGAUGGAAUUUACCAUAUCCCUGAAUCUUAGGGGAGAGAGUGACCCCUGAAUCACGUGACCGCCAAUUGACGUCGUAUGCGACAGUGCAUGCGUUCGUUCGAAUAGUGCGAAGUUUCCGCUAAUCGGGGAUUCGCCAACUCGUAUAAUUUAUUGCCAAUUCAUCCCUCAUCUGUGACGGUGGGAUUUUCCGAACAAUCGAAAUAUAGUAUACGCGGUCAUUGUGAAUGAAAUUUUGUAUAUCACGUUUGCGAGCGAGGUCUAAUUUGUGUAUUGAUAUUUAUAGGUAUAUUCGCGUCAUAACAUCAAUUUAACUGACCAUAAAGAGAAGGAGAAUUUUAGCA